GCGUGGGCACCUGCCCUGGGGUGGGGGAUAACCGCUGGAAACGGCGGCUAAUACCGCAUACGCCUUAUGAGGGAAAGAUUUAUCGCCCUGGGAGGGGCCCGCGUUGGAUUAGCUUGUUGGUGGGGUAACGGCCCACCAAGGCGACGAUCCAUAGCUGGUCUGAGAGGAUGAUCAGCCACACUGGGACUGAGACACGGCCCAGACUCCUACGGGAGGCAGCAGUGGGGAAUAUUGGACAAUGGGGGCAACCCUGAUCCAGCCAUGCCGCGUGCGUGAAGAAGGCCUUAGGGUUGUAAAGCG
RNAcentral lists this ribosomal RNA (300 nucleotides) under uncultured Alphaproteobacteria bacterium. RNAcentral's name for it is "bacterial SSU rRNA". It matches the Rfam family "Bacterial small subunit ribosomal RNA", at positions 115 to 432 of the family's 1533-position model. The record is from RNAcentral. Lineage: Bacteria; Pseudomonadati; Pseudomonadota; Alphaproteobacteria.